GGUGUAAUGUCCUCUUGCUCUUCUCGCGGAGCGCAAACGAAGGGUAACGUGCGUUGAAAGGUAGAGAGAGCAAGAAAGGUGACGUCGGCGGCGGCGGCGGCGAUCCCAACGGCGGCGGUUGUGGAGGGGUUCGGCAUAAGCGGAGCUGCCCAGAGUUGGACGGUGCGCCUCACUGAGAGCCUACGCCUGCGAGCUCCCGCUCCCUUCGCGGCGGCGAAAAGUACCCGCGGCCAACGACCACCGCCGCCCUCCCUGCUCGUCCGCACGCCGUUGGAGUUCGAAGAGGGUACACGGACCUGUGCUCGCCGUGUUCCCCAACUCCUCGUCCCCCGCUACGGUUCCCGCACCUCGUCCCCUAAGUGUUCGUCUACGUAUAGUAGUCGUUGGGGACUCUGGAGCACGUUGUAGUUCUACGACCACAGGACGGAGGUAAACAAGCGGUGCCAGCGACGGAGUACAGUCCAUAUACCGCUCCUGUGUUUAAACCCACAGGUCGAGGAACGGACGUACACGUUUCUUAAGUCUUGGACGUCUAAUAAAACACAUACACUGAUGUUCCACAACCUUUAGGUUAGUCUGAACGUCGUCUACUUCGGUUGCGCCUGCUACUAAUUGAAGAGACUGGAAUACCCUAGCCACCGUCGCUCUAGGCGUUCCUCUUGCUCCACCGCGGCGUUCUACCGUUCUUGCCACGCCGUCGCCCCACCCGUUCUUCUACUCCGAGGUCCAAACCGACUAACGAGCCUACUACUCAUAGUAUUGGGUGUGUUCUUUAUAUCUUUUCCAUUUCGCUUCUGUGUCAGGUAAACCAAACAGUAAAACUUCCGUGUCUAUCUUUGUUCUUGUGGUAUAUACAAGAUAUUCCUGUCUCAAGACGGCAAAGUCACCACGGUUCUAUAUGGGCCCCUUACGUAGUCUAAGCAGAUAAGUCUGAGAGCUCAGAAGGAAAAAAGGUUGAGUUUCACGUUCGCGAUAAAGGUGUUGGUAGAAUUCGGACCAUUCGAAUAUACCUUACGGUACAUGUCCUUCGUCGUGUUCUUGAUAUAAGCACAACUCCGACGUUUCUUCUCCGUGGCGCGGUAGUUCUCAGGAAUACCAGAGCGACUAGUAGCGGAGACCUGCGCGGUAACU
Molecule: ribosomal RNA, 1131 nt
Filed under: Triticum aestivum (bread wheat)
Lineage: Eukaryota; Viridiplantae; Streptophyta; Magnoliopsida; Poales; Poaceae
Description: partial small subunit ribosomal RNA
Source: RNAcentral